RNAcentral lists this ribosomal RNA (943 nucleotides) under Apopylus sp. 2 NLG-2013. Its description in RNAcentral is "partial 16S ribosomal RNA". The record is from RNAcentral. Lineage: Eukaryota; Metazoa; Arthropoda; Insecta; Coleoptera; Cleridae.
GAAUAGAAAAAAUUAUUAAGAUUAAUAUUUAAGCUAUAUUUGAAUAAAGUAAUUUAAAUUUUAUUAUUAAUAAGAAAAAAUUUUAUUUAUAAUAGAUAAUUAGUAUUGUAAAAGAAAUUUUUUAUAUAUUUUUAAGAAAAAUUUAAAAUUUGUACCUUGUGUAUCAGGGUUAAUUAAAUUAAAUUUUAUUAUAAAAGUUUCCCGAAUUUAAAAGAGUUAAUUAUUUAUAUAUUUAAUUGUUAAAUAAAUUUUUAUAAUAGAUAAUUAGAAAUGAAACGUUAUUCGUUUUUAAAUAUAUCUGGUUUUUAAAGAAAUAAAUUUAAUUUAUUAAUUAAUAUUUAAAAUUUUAAAUAUUUAAUAUUUUAUUUUAUUAAUUAAUAAUUAUAUUAGGGAUAAGCUUAGUAUAAAAUUUCUAUAAUAAAUAGAUUAAAGAAAUAAUUUAUAAGAUUAAAAUUUUCUAUAAAUAAAAAAAUGUUAUAAUUAAUUAUUUUUUUUUAAUAUUUAUAUUUAAUUUAGGUAUUUAUUUAAAUUUAUUAUAAAAUUUAAAAUUAUUAGGAAUAAUGAUUAAAUUAGUAAAUAAUAAUGUAUAUUUAAUUUAUAAGUUUAGGUUAAGUUAAGGAAUUCGGCAAAAGAUUUUUCACCUGUUUAUUAAAAACAUGUCUUUUUGAUAAUAAUUUAAAGUCUAAUCUGCCCACUGAAGAUUUGAAUGGCCGCGGUAUUUUGACCGUGCAAAGGUAGCAUAAUAAUUAGUUUUUUAAUUGAAAGCUGGAAUGAAUGAUUGAAUGAGAAAAUAACUGUCUCAGUUUAAUUUUAAUUGAAUUUUAUUUUUAAGUUAAAAAGCUUAAAUAAUAUUAAAAGACGAGAAGACCCUAUAGAGUUUUAUAAAUUAAUUUUUUAAGAUUAAUAGUUUUAAAAAUUUAAAUGAAUUAAAUUUAUUUUGUUG